CCUACGGGAGGCAGCAGUGGGGGAUAUUGCACAAUGGAGGAAACCCUGAUGCAGCGACGCCGCGUGGGCGAUGAAGUCUUUCUGUAUGUAAAGCCCUAUCAGCAGGGAAGAAGAACUUACGGUACCUGAGUAAUAAUCACCGGCUCACUACGUGGCAGCAGCCGCGGUCAUACGGAGGGUGCAAGCGUUAUCCGGAUUUACUGGGUGUAACGGGAGCGCAGGCGGCACGGGAAGCCUGGUGUGAAAGCCCGCGGCCCAACCGCGGGACUGCAGUUGGACCUACCGGGCUGGAGUGACGGAGAGGUAGGCGGAAUUCGUAGUGUAGCGGUGAAAUGCGUAGAUAUUACGAGGAACACCAGUGGCGAAGGCGGCUUACUGGACGGUGACUGACGCUGAGGCUCGAAAGCGUGGGGAGCAAACAGGAUUAGAUACCCUAGUAGUC
This 442-nucleotide ribosomal RNA is filed under the name uncultured bacterium. Its description in RNAcentral is "partial 16S ribosomal RNA". It matches the Rfam family "Bacterial small subunit ribosomal RNA", at positions 338 to 795 of the family's 1533-position model. The record is from RNAcentral.